Molecule: microRNA, 22 nt
Filed under: Mus musculus (house mouse)
Lineage: Eukaryota; Metazoa; Chordata; Mammalia; Rodentia; Muridae
Description: mmu-miR-882
Gene: mmu-miR-882
Source: miRBase by way of RNAcentral
AGGAGAGAGUUAGCGCAUUAGU